UACGUAGGGUGCGAGCGUUGUCCGGAAUUAUUGGGCGUAAAGAGCUCGUAGGCGGUCUGUCGCGUCGGUCGUGAAAACUUGGGGCUUAACCCUGAGCUUGCGGUCGAUACGGGCAUGACUGGAGUUCGGCAGGGGAGACUGGAAUUCCUGGUGUAGCGGUGAAAUGCGCAGAUAUCAGGAGGAACACCGGUGGCGAAGGCGGGUCUCUGGGCCGAUACUGACGCUGAGGCGCGAAAGCGUGGGGAGCGAACAGG
RNAcentral lists this ribosomal RNA (254 nucleotides) under uncultured bacterium. Its description in RNAcentral is "partial 16S ribosomal RNA". It matches the Rfam family "Bacterial small subunit ribosomal RNA", at positions 524 to 776 of the family's 1533-position model. The record is from RNAcentral.